This 115-nucleotide ribosomal RNA is filed under the name Thalassospira sp. The record is from RNAcentral. Lineage: Bacteria; Pseudomonadati; Pseudomonadota; Alphaproteobacteria; Rhodospirillales; Thalassospiraceae.
CCUGGUGGUCAUAGCGUUGGUUCAAACCCCGUUCCCAUUCCGAACACGGCCGUGAAGCCCAACAGCGCCCAUGGUACUGCGUCUUAAGAUGUGGGAGAGUCAGACGCUGCCAGGU